Molecule: ribosomal RNA, 663 nt
Filed under: uncultured bacterium
Lineage: Bacteria
Description: bacterial SSU rRNA
Rfam family: Bacterial small subunit ribosomal RNA
Source: RNAcentral
CGCGGCCUAUCAGCUUGUUGGUGAGGUAAAAGCUCACCAAGGCAUCGAUGGGUAGCUGGUCUGAGAGGAUGAUCAGCCACACUGGAACUGAGAUACGGUCCAGACUCCUACGGGAGGCAGCAGUCGGGAAUCUUGCACAAUGGGCGAAAGCCUGAUGCAGCAACGCCGCGUGAGGGAUGAAGGCCCUCGGGUCGUAAACCUCUGUCGGGAGGGAAGAAAGUAUUCCGGGUGAAUACCCCGGAGUAUCGACGGUACCUUCAAAGGAAGCGCCGGCUAACUCCGUGCCAGCAGCCGCGGUAAUACGGAGGGCGCGAGCGUUAUUCGGAAUCAUUGGGCGUAAAGCGCGUGUAGGCGGCUGGGCAAGUCGGAUGUGAAAGCCCGGGGCUCAACCCCGGAAUUGCAUUCGAAACUGCUCAACUAGAGUCUCGGAGAGGAGGGCGGAAUUCCCGGUGUAGAGGUGAAAUUCGUAGAUAUCGGGAGGAACACCAGUGGCGAAGGCGGCCCUCUGGACGAUGACUGACGCUGAGACGCGAAAGCGUGGGGAGCAAACAGGAUUAGAUACCCUGGUAGUCCACGCCGUAAACGUUGGGUGCUAGGUGUCGCGGGUAUUGACCCCUGCGGUGCCGUCGUUAACGCAUUUAGCACCCCGCCUGGGGAGUACGG